GAUGAACGCUGGCGGCGUGCCUAAUACAUGCAAGUCGAGCGAACAGAUAAGGAGCUUGCUCUUUUGACGUUAGCGGCGGACGGGUGAGUAACACGUGGGUAACCUACCUAUUAUACUGGGAUAACUUCGGGAAACCGGAGCUAAUACCGGAUCAUAUUUCGAACCGCAUGGUUCGAUAGUGAAAGAUGGUUUUGCUAUCCCUUAUAGAUGGACCCGCGCCGUAUUAGCUAGUGGGUAAGGCAAAGGCUUACCAAGGCGACGGUCCGUAGCCGAUCGGAGAGGGUGAUCGGCCACACUGGAACUGAGACCCGGUCCAGACUCCUACGGGAGGCAGCAGUAGGGAAUCUUCGGCAAUGGGCGCAAGCCUGACGCAGCCACGCCGCGUGAGUGAUGAAGGUCUUCGGAUCGUAAAACUCUGUUAUUAGGGAAGAACAUACGUGUAAGUAAAUGUCCACGUCUUGACGGUACCUAAUCAGAAAGCCACGGCUAACUACGUG
Molecule: ribosomal RNA, 497 nt
Filed under: uncultured bacterium
Lineage: Bacteria
Description: partial 16S ribosomal RNA
Rfam family: Bacterial small subunit ribosomal RNA
Source: RNAcentral